CCGAGCCCCGUGCGCUGCGGGCUCUGCGCCCUAGCCAGCUGCGCUCGCCGAUCGCCGCCCGCUCCCCCGAGGCCUUGGCGCCGCCGCCAGGGCGCGGGGCAAACAAAGGAGGCAGACAAAGGCGAGCGCAGCCCCGCGGCCGUGUGGGCACCGGGCGAGGCGGGCCCGCUCCUCCCGGAAGGACCCCGGAGCCUGCCCCCUCCGCUUGCUGCGCGACACUGACAAGUCCUCAUCAGGCUCGUCAGCAGAAAAAAGAUAGCCAGGAACCCACACGUAUUCUGAAGAUUUAUUGAGUCAACCCACAGACACCCAGCCCAGCGCCUACCAUUCGGCUGCAGCUUCCAAAGGCAGCCAAGGAUGACCACCCUCACGCGCCAAGACCUCAACUUCGGCCAAGUGGUGGCCGACGUGCUCUCCGAGUUCCUGGAGGUGGCCGUGCACUUGAUCCUCUAUGUGCGCGAGGUCUACCCGGUGGGCAUCUUUCAGAAGCGCAAGAAGUACAACGUGCCGGUUCAGUUCAGAGAUGUUAAGUCAUUUGCCGGUGGCUACACAGCUUCUCCCCCACUACCCCCCAAGACAGAGCUUCUCUGUAUAGCCCCAGCUCCAUAGACCAGGCUGGCUUCCUUCAACUGAGAGAUCCGCCUGCGUCUGCCUCCUGAGUGCUGAGAUUAAGAUGUCCUGCCACCCAGAGCUGAACCAGUACAUCCAGGACACACU
RNAcentral lists this long non-coding RNA (717 nucleotides) under Rattus norvegicus (Norway rat). RNAcentral's name for it is "long non-coding RNA NONRATT022842". The record is from RNAcentral. Lineage: Eukaryota; Metazoa; Chordata; Mammalia; Rodentia; Muridae.